Molecule: ribosomal RNA, 342 nt
Filed under: uncultured Gammaproteobacteria bacterium
Lineage: Bacteria; Pseudomonadati; Pseudomonadota; Gammaproteobacteria
Description: bacterial SSU rRNA
Rfam family: Bacterial small subunit ribosomal RNA
Source: RNAcentral
GAGUUUGAUCAUGGCUCAGAGUGAACGCUGGCGGCAGGCCUAACACAUGCAAGUCGAGCGGCAGCGCGGGGGCAACCCUGGCGGCGAGCGGCGGACGGGUGAGGAAUGCAUCGGAAUCUACCUCGUUGUGGGGGAUAACCUCGGGAAACCGGGACUAAUACCGCAUACGACCUACGGGUGAAAGUGGGGGACCGCAAGGCCUCACGCGAUGAGAUGAGCCGAUGCCGGAUUAGCUAGUUGGCGGGGUAAAGGCCCACCAAGGCGACGAUCCGUAGCUGGUCUGAGAGGAUGAUCAGCCACACUGGAACUGAGACACGGUCCAGACUCCUACGGGAGGCAGCA